RNAcentral lists this ribosomal RNA (456 nucleotides) under uncultured Anoxybacillus sp. RNAcentral's name for it is "bacterial SSU rRNA". It matches the Rfam family "Bacterial small subunit ribosomal RNA", at positions 925 to 1382 of the family's 1533-position model. Lineage: Bacteria; Bacillati; Bacillota; Bacilli; Caryophanales; Anoxybacillaceae. The record is from RNAcentral.
ACAAGCGGUGGAGCAUGUGGUUAAUCGAAGCAACGCGUAAGAACCUUACCAGGUCUUGACAUCCCCUGACAACCCGAGAGAUCGGGCGUUCCCCUUCGGGGGACAGGGUGACAGGUGGUGCAUGGUUGUCGUCAGCUCGUGUCGUGAGAUGUUGGGUUAAGUCCCGCAACGAGCGCAACCCUCGACCUUAGUUGCCAGCAUUCAGUUGGGCACUCUAAGGUGACUGCCGGCUAAAAGUCGGAGGAAGUGGGGAUGACGUCAAAUCAUCAUGCCCCUUAUGACCUGGGCUACACACGUGCUACAAUGGGCGGUACAAAGGGUCGCGAACCCGCGAGGGGGAGCCAAUCCCAAAAAGCCGCUCUCAGUUCGGAUUGCAGGCUGCAACUCGCCUGCAUGAAGCCGGAAUCGCUAGUAAUCGCGGAUCAGCAUGCCGCGGUGAAUACGUUCCCGGGCCUU